UGUGCUCUGGGGACCGCUGCAUCCUCAGGCUGUGGACUAGGAAGCUGAGGGUCACCCAGACAAGAGGAGGUGCUGGAGGUCACACAGUGAAUAUGCCUCGCUGGCCUUCCUGUCUGGCGUGUCUUCCUCUGCCCCCAUCCAGGGAGGAUCACCUGAGCCCAGGAGGUCAAGGCUUCAGUGAGCUGCGAUCUCACUGUCAGGCCUCUGAGCCCAAGCUAAGCCAUGGCAUCCCCGGUGACUUGCACGUAUACGCCCAGAUGGCCUGAAGUAACUGAAGAAUCACAAAAGAAGUGAAAAUGCCCUGCCCCGCCUUAACUGAUGACAUUCCACCACAAAAGAAGUGAAAAUGGCCGGUCCUUGCCUUAACUGAUGACAUUGUCUUGUGAAAUUCCUUCUCCUGGCUCAAAAAGCUCCUCCACUGAGCACCUUGUGACCCCCCACUCCUGCCCGCCAGAGAACAACUUUGUAAUUUUCCUUUGUAAUCCCUUUGUAAUUUUCCUUUACCUACCCAAAUCCUAUAAAACGGCCCCACCCUUACCUCCCUUCGCUGACUCUCUUUUCGGACUCAGCCCGCCUGCACCCAGGUGAUUAAAAGCUUUACUGCUCACACAAA
Molecule: long non-coding RNA, 613 nt
Filed under: Homo sapiens (human)
Lineage: Eukaryota; Metazoa; Chordata; Mammalia; Primates; Hominidae
Description: novel transcript
Source: RNAcentral